This 488-nucleotide ribosomal RNA is filed under the name uncultured bacterium. RNAcentral's name for it is "partial 16S ribosomal RNA". It matches the Rfam family "Bacterial small subunit ribosomal RNA", at positions 28 to 507 of the family's 1533-position model. The record is from RNAcentral.
GACGAACGCUGGCGGCGUGCCUAACACAUGCAAGUCGAACGGACAGACCCGGCGCUUGUGGGGUGCUCGAGAGCCGCAGGGGUGAGUGAAACGCGUGUAAACUGUCCUUGUAAUUGUGGUAAAUCUAGGGAAAAGCGGCUCAAACACCAUAGGAGAUACUGAUGCGUGGUGGGGGAUGGUAAGAGACGGCGGUUCGGGCACGAAUCGCGGCGUACUAGCUAGUUGGUAAGGUAACGGCUUACAAAGGCUAUGAAGGGUAGCCGGCCUGAGAGGGUGAUCGGCCACACUGGAACUGAGACACGGUCCAGACUCCUACGGGAGGCAGCAGUAGGGAAUCUUCCGCAAUGGGCGAAAGCUUGACGGAGCAACGCCGCGUGAGUGAUGAAGGUCUUCGGAUCGUAAAACUCUGUUAUUAGGGAAGAACAAAUGUGUAAGUAACUAUGCACGUCUUGACGGUACCUAAUCAGAAAGCCACGGCUAACUACGUG